RNAcentral lists this ribosomal RNA (420 nucleotides) under bacterium. RNAcentral's name for it is "partial 16S ribosomal RNA". It matches the Rfam family "Bacterial small subunit ribosomal RNA", at positions 355 to 776 of the family's 1533-position model. RNAcentral also lists the same sequence under 1 other name. The record is from RNAcentral.
UGGGGGAUAUUGCACAAUGGGCGAAAGCCUGAUGCAGCGACGCCGCGUGGGGGAUGAAGGCUUUCGGGUUGUAAACCUCUUUCGCUAUCGAACAAGGCCCGCUUAGGGUGGGUUGAGGGUAGGUGGAGAAGAAGCGCCGGCUAACUACGUGCCAGCAGCCGCGGUAAUACGUAGGGCGCGAGCGUUGUCCGGAAUUAUUGGGCGUAAAGGGCUUGUAGGCGGCUUGUUGCGCCUGCUGUGAAAACGCGGGGCUUAACUUCGCGCGUGCAGUGGGUACGGGCAGGCUUGAGUGUGGUAGGGGUGACUGGAAUUCCAGGUAUAGCGGUGGAAUGCGCAGAUAUCUGGAGGAACACCGAUGGCGAAGGCAGGUCACUGGGCCAUUACUGACGCUGAGGAGCGAAAGCAUGGGUAGCGAACAGG